Long non-coding RNA from Patella vulgata (common limpet), 513 nucleotides. RefSeq lists it as uncharacterized. Lineage: Eukaryota; Metazoa; Mollusca; Gastropoda; Patellidae. The transcript is spliced from 2 exons. The record is from RefSeq and is a predicted model, not a curated record.
UAUAUAAUGAUAGUGAGUUUCUAAUCAUAUAUUUGAUUGAUUUAUGAGUACUGUCUGAAUGAAAGUGAAUAUGUGUGGAUAAAAGAGAGAGCAACAGAAAUGGUGUUUAUCCCACUCAAGGGAGAAGGUAACCCUACUCAUUGUAAUGUAAAUCAUGCCACUUGACUCAAUGACACAGCUUAUGAUGUCCGUGGUUCAAUCCUGGUGUUGGUCAAGAAAAUUCCUUGGGAUUUUUCACCAUGGUUUCCCUUGAGAAGGAACAGCUUCUGUCAUUUGAGUGGCACCAAAAAACAAAACCUGUGUACACAUUGGCAGGCACUUAAAAGAAGAAUUGCUGUAUAGAAUGAAGACAAAGUUGCAUAUACUCUAUUUAUUUGUUGGUCACAGAUUAAUAUACCAUUGUUUUAGAUGUCUGUAAAAGUAGGAAUUAUUUCUUUUUUGUUAAAACAACUAUUCCGAUGACAAUUCCUGAGUAUAUUUCAUUUCCAGAAUCAUUAAAAAUACACACAGUAA